Molecule: non-coding RNA, 235 nt
Filed under: Rhodanobacter spathiphylli
Lineage: Bacteria; Pseudomonadati; Pseudomonadota; Gammaproteobacteria; Lysobacterales; Rhodanobacteraceae
Source: RNAcentral
UAAAGUUCGCCCGUUUCGGGUGUCCUGCGGGCCUUCGCCCACGGGAUGAAACGGGAAGCCGGUGCGUUGCGCGCGAAGCGCAGCAAGGCCGGCGCUGCCCCCGCAACGGUAAGCGAGAGAACAUCGGACGGCGGAUAGCCACUGUGCUGCGGCACGGGAAGGCGUCGUCCGAUGGCAUGUGCCAUGGCCCAUGCGGCUCGCAAGCCCGGAGACCGGCCCGAAUCGAACGUUUCUG